RNAcentral lists this ribosomal RNA (677 nucleotides) under uncultured eukaryote. RNAcentral's name for it is "SSU rRNA". It matches the Rfam family "Eukaryotic small subunit ribosomal RNA", at positions 441 to 1121 of the family's 1831-position model. The record is from RNAcentral.
UUACCCAAUCCCGACACGGGGAGGUAGUGACAAUAAAUAACAAUGUAGGGCCCUUUCGGGUCUUACAAUUGGAAUGAGUACAAUUUAAAUCCCUUAACGAGGAACAAUUGGAGGGCAAGUCUGGUGCCAGCAGCCGCGGUAAUUCCAGCUCCAAUAGCGUAUAUUAAAGUUGUUGCAGUUAAAAAGCUCGUAGUUGAACUUCAGACCUGGCUGCAUGGUCCGCUUAACGGCGUGUACUGUAUGGCUGGGUCUUACCUCUUGGUGAGCCGGCGUGCCCUUUAUUGGUGUGCGUCGGGGAACCAGGACUUUUACCUUGAGAAAAUUAGAGUGUUCAAAGCAGGCCUAUGCCCGAAUACAUUAGCAUGGAAUAAUAAAAUAGGACGUGCGGUUCUAUUUUGUUGGUUUCUAGAGUCGCCGUAAUGAUUAAUAGGGAUAGUUGGGGGCAUUGGUAUUGAGUCGCUAGAGGUGAAAUUCUUGGAUUGACUCAAGACCGACUAUUGCGAAAGCAUUUGCCAAGGAUGUUUUCAUUAAUCAAGAACGAAGGUUAGGGGAUCGAAAACGAUCAGAUACCGUUGUAGUCUUAACAGUAAACAAUGCCGACUAGGGAUCGGGCGACCUCAAUUUUUAUGUGUCGCUCGGCACCUUACGAGAAAUCAAAGUCUUUGGGUUCUGGGGGG